AUUGAACGCUGGCGGCAGGCUUAACACAUGCAAGUCGAGCGAGCGGCGGACGGGUGAGUAAUGUCUGGGAAACUGCCUGAUGGAGGGGGAUAACUACUGGAAACGGUAGCUAAUACCGCAUACCAUCAGAUGUGCCCAGAUGGGAUUAGCUAGUAGGUGGGGUAAUGGCUCACCUAGGCGACGAUCCCUAGCUGGUCUGAGAGGAUGACCAGCAACACUGGAAAUGAGCAACGGGCCAGAUCCUGACGGGAGGAAGAAGUGGGGAAUAUUGCACAAGGGGGGCAAGCCUGAUCCAGCCAUGCGGAGUGUGUGAAGAAGGCCUUCGGGUUGUAAAGCACUGUCAGCGGGGAGGCGUUACGCGCAGAAGAAGCACCGGCUAACUCCGUGCCAGCAGCCGCGGUAAUUC
This 406-nucleotide ribosomal RNA is filed under the name uncultured bacterium. Its description in RNAcentral is "partial 16S ribosomal RNA". It matches the Rfam family "Bacterial small subunit ribosomal RNA", at positions 29 to 526 of the family's 1533-position model. The record is from RNAcentral.